AAGUUCCUGUUUCUCAUCUCCGUCGCUAUGCUCUUUCUCAAAUAUUCUGUUAAGGGAUUCCAAAGAGAUCAAUAAUCCUAUAAACCUUGUCCAGUAACUAUAUCUCGUCUCUGCUGUAGUUAAAGAAAGAGAUUCCUAUGAAUGAAAUGACCGGUGACAAGGGCUAGAGACUGAGUGAAACGAAUAAAGAGUGAAACGAAGGGAAAGUUGAAAAGAAGACUGAACAAUAAGUGAAGCAGAAAUCGUUAAUAGGGUUAUGGCUCAGUUUGUCCGUUGGUAUGAAUCUUAAAGUCAGUAGUGUUUCUUAAAGUCUAUAUC
Molecule: ribosomal RNA, 318 nt
Filed under: Apocalathium aciculiferum
Lineage: Eukaryota; Dinophyceae; Thoracosphaerales; Thoracosphaeraceae
Description: partial Eukaryotic large subunit ribosomal RNA
Source: RNAcentral